UGGGGAAUCAUGGUCAAUGGGCGAAAGCCUGAACCUGCGACGCCGCGUGAGUGAUGAAGGUCGUAAGAUCGUAAAACUCUUUUCAGGGAUCUUACAGCCUGUCUGUCAACAACAGGCAGGUCUGACUCUCCCUGGAAGAAGCCCCAGCCAACUACGUGCAAGCAGCUGCGGUAAUACGUAGGGGGCGAGCGUUAUUCGGAAUUACUGGGUGUAAAGGGUAUGUAGGCGGCCCUUCAAGUCGCGUGUCAAAGUCCAGUGCUCAACGCUGGGUGUGCGCGCGAUACUGACCGGCUUGAGGGCUGGAGAGGUGAGCGGAAUUCCCGGUGUAGUGGUAAAAUACGUAGAGAUCGGGAGGAACACCAGCGGCGCAGGCGGCUCACUAGACAGUUUCUGACGCUAAGAUACGAAAGCGUGUGGAGCAAACA
This 425-nucleotide ribosomal RNA is filed under the name uncultured prokaryote. Its description in RNAcentral is "bacterial SSU rRNA". It matches the Rfam family "Bacterial small subunit ribosomal RNA", at positions 355 to 774 of the family's 1533-position model. The record is from RNAcentral.